UUGGAAACACUAAUAUGAGAAGGAUCAAAGAGGACGUGGAGGAAGUAAGAAUGCUGAUAAAAGUAAUCUGGAAAGAAAUGGUGAAAAGAGAAAUGAUAAUCUCUGAAGAAGAAAAUAAAGGUGCAAGGGGCUACUGCGAGUUCCGUGAAGAAAAGGAACAUGAGAUCCAGGAAUGUGACGAGUUUAAGGCUUUGAUACAAAGCCUUAUGGAUAAUAAGGAGCUGGAAUUUUAUGAAGCUGGCUCAGAUGAGGGUCAUGUAUGCACAUUGGAAGAUGAACCCAACAAUCAAAUAAUCAACCGGCCAAGGAUCAUUAUUUCUCUACCAAUGAAUAAUGAAGUCGAAACAUAAACAGCACCGAAGGUUAUUACUCGCAAACUCGUUUUCUUUCCUUAUAAGGAUAACAAGAGGGUACCCUGGUAUUAUGACUGUAAUGUGACAAUGCCAGAGAAAGAGGCUAUAGCUAGUGCUUCUAAAGAGGCUCAAGAUAAGGGUUCUUACACACGUAGUGGGAAGCGUUAUAAUGUAGAAGGAGUCAGAGUUGAGCCUGCGAAAGCAAAAGCCUUUGACAAAGAAAAAGGGGUUGAAGUACUUGUUAAUGAGCCAGUAAAGGAAGAAGAAGCCAGAGAGUUUUUAAAAUUCUUAAAACACAGUGAGUACAGCGUGGUUGAACAAUUGCGCAAGCAACCAACUCACAAAUCAAUGUUGGCUUUGCUUCUGAGUUCAGAGGUACAUCGAGAAACAUUAAUGAAGGUGCUCAAUGAGACUUACGUUACUAAUGAUAUAUCCGUCAAUAAGUUAGAUCGAUUGGUUAGUAACAUAAGUGCUGACAAUUUUAUCUAUUUCAAUGAUGAUGAAAUCCCACUUGGUGGCAUAGGAUCAGCUAAAGCUUUACAUAUCACCACUCGCUAUAAGGGGUAUACAUUGCCGAGUGUGCUUAUUGAUAAUGGAUCAGCCUUAAAUGUCUUACCAUUGUCCACAUUGAAUAGAUUACCCAUAGACAGUUCUCACAUAAAAACAUGCCAUAAUGUAGUGAGAGCAUUCGAUGGCACGGAGAGAAAGGUCAUGGGAAGAAUUGAUAUUCCUUUGAUGAUUGGGCCAAAUACGUAUGAGGUGGACUUUUUAGUGAUGGACAUCAAGCCCUCUUACAAUUGCCUGUUGGAGAGGCCUUGGAUACAUUCGGCAGGAGUAGUGCCCUCAUCCUUGUACCAGAAAUUGAAGUUAGUAACGGACAGACGGCUAGUCACCAUAAAUGCAGAGGAAGACAUCAUAGCAGCAGUUACCAGCGACGCACCAUAUGUAGAGGCAAAUGAUAAGGCUAUUGAGUGCUCUUUUCGUUCCUUAGAAUUCGUCAAUGCAACAUUCAUUUCAGAGAGGAAGGAGGUGUCAGUACCCAGGAUAUUCAGAACCACAAGAAUGGGUUUACAGAUGACAAUGGGGAAAGGAGCUUUGCCAGGAAAAGGAUUGGGAAGAUAUCUUUAAGGAAGGAUUUAGAUUCCAGAAUUAAAGGAGAAGAGAGACCAUUUUGGCUUGGGUUUCAGGCCAGAUCACAAGCAAAGGAGGAAGGAAAUAGAGAAGCGUCAGGAAAGAAGAAAGACGCAUUUAAAUGGAAGAGAAGUAGAGUGGGAAUUGAUGACAUUCCCUCAUAUAUCCCAAACUUUUAUAUCAGGAGGGAUAAUUUACCCUAAGAAAGGGUUGCUCGAAAAAGAAAGUUAUCACAUCAAUGCUGUACAUAAUGAAGAGCCUGAAUGAAAAAACCUUGAGGGCAUUCGCCGUUAAGAACCGAGAAGCUCUUUAAACAAUUGGAUUGCAGAAGAAUUUCUUGUAGUUUUUAAAGACUUUUCAAAGUAAUUUUUAAAACACUCUUGUUGCUCUAAAGCCUGGGAGUAAUAAGGUUUCGUUUGUAAAAUAGGUUCAUGUUUGGAUAUUUGUAUUUCAAUAAAACAUCACUUUUGUUAUCAAUCCAAGUGAAUAUCCUUUUAUACCGAUCAAUAUUCUUUUGACCUUUUUAAAUUCUUUCAAAUUUUUCAUUUCAUACAUAACACAUAAAUGAACAUUCUUAAAAUUCAUUCAUUCUUUGUACAUUCUUUCGUACCCCGCAAGUCCCUAGAUAUCAAUGACAUGAGCACUGAUACUACAAAUCCUGAAUUCUCUUUUAAGUAAGACAUGUGUGUAGAAGAACCUCAGGAUUUUGAAGAUGACGGGAAUUGUGAUGUGUCUCCAAAUCUGUUGAGAAUGGUGAAACAAGAGGAGAAACAAAUCCUACCCCGUGAGAAAGAGGCAAUAGAGAAUGUAGUCUUGGAAGAAUGAAAAGAGGUAAAAAUAGGGACACAUAUUGCAAAGGAAACGAGACAAGGUCUUGUUGAGCUACUACGUGAAUUCAAAGAUAUAUUUGCAUGGUCAUACGAGGAUAUGCCGGGACUGAAUACUGAUAUCGUGGUACAUUGUCUCCCCAUAAGACAAGAUUGCAAGCCGGUCCAACAAAAAUUACGAAGGAUGAGGCCUGAUAUUGUGCUGAAAAUAAAAGAUGAAGUCAAAAAGCAGUUUAAUACUGGAUUCCUACAAGAGGUUAAGUAUUCAAAAUGUGUGGCUAACAUUGUGCUUGUCCCUAAGAAGGAUGGGAAGGUACGAAUGUGUGUUGAUUACAUAGAUCUGAACAAAGCUAGCCCAAAGGACAACUUUCUUUUACCGCACAUCGACACUUUGGUGGACAAUACAGCGGGAUAUUCAUUGUUUUCUUUUAUGGAUGGCUUCUCAGGGUACAAUCAGAUAAAGAUGCAUCCCAAGGACAUGGAUAAAACUACCUUUAUAACAUUAUGAGGCACCUUUUGUUACAAGGUAAUGCCCUUCGGGUUAAAGAAUGCAGGGGCAACAUACCAAAGGGCUAUGGUGAACUUAUUUCACGAUAUGAUGCACAAGGAGAUUGAAGUGUAUGUUGAUGACAUGAUUGCUAAAUCUCGAACAGAGACAGAGCAUAUUGAAGUCUUGAAGAAGUUGUUCAUAAGAUUAAGGAAGUUUCAGUUGAAGCUUAAUCCAGCAAAGUGCAUUUUCGGAGCUAGGUCGGGGAAAUUAUUGGGCUUUGUGGUCAGCGAAAAGGGAAUAGAAGUUGACUCAGACAAGGUUAGAGCCAUACGAGAAUUGCCUCCACCACAUACUCAAAAGGAAGUUUGGGGUUUUCUUGGAAGAUUGAAUUAUAUUGCUCGGUUUAUUUCACAAUUAACCGAUAAAUGUGAUCCUAUAUUUCGCCUCAUUAGAAAACACAACCAAGGUAUAUGGAAUGAGGAAUGCCAGAAUGCUUUUGAUAAGGUUAAGCAAUACUUGUUAAACGCUCCAGUAUCAUCUCUGCCCAGUCCAGAUAGACCAUUAAUUCUGUACUUAUCAGUGUUUAGUAAUUCUAUAGGGUGUGUGCUUGGUCAACAUGACGAGUCAAGAAGAAAGGAGAAGGUGAUAUAUUACCUUAGCAAGAAAUUCACAGAGUGUGAGAUGAGAUAUUCACAAAUUGAGAAGUUGUGUUGUGCUUUGAGCUGGACGACUCGAAGGUUGAGGCAAUAUAUGCUAUAUCAUACAACUUGGCUAAUUUCGAAACUUGAUCCAUUAAAGUACAUGAUGGAGUCAACAGCCCUAAAUGGAAGAAUGGCAAGGUGAAAAGUACUACUUUCAGAAUUUGAUAUAGUCUAUGUGAGUCAAAAGGCUAUAAAAUGGAGCGCGAUAGCAGAAUUUCUGGCUAGCAGAGCUCUAGAAGAUUAUGAGCCGUUAAGCUUUGAUUUUCCUAAUGAGGAGUUGAUGUAUGUGGCAACUAUUGAAGAACGUCCAUGGAAGCUAAACUUUGACGGCGCAUCCAAUGCGGUAGGAAAUGGAAUUGGGGCAGUCUUGGUAUCCCCAAAUGGUGAUCAUUAUCCAUUUACAUGUAAAUUAGAUUUUCACUGUACGAACAAUAUGGCUGAGUAUGAAGCAUGCAUCAUGGGGAUUCAAGCGGCCAAAGAGCGAAAAAUUAGAACCCUGGAAGUGUAUGGAGACUUUGCGUUGGUAAUAUACCAACUUAGGGAUGAAUGAGAGACAAGGGACCCCAAAUUGAUUAAUUAUCGAAGGGUAGUUUUGGAGUUACUUGAAGAGUUUGAUAACGUCACUUUCAGUUAUCUCCCACGAAACGAAAAUCAAAUGGCGGACGCUUUGGCAACAUUAGCUUCCAUGAUUAAAGCAAAUAAACAAGAGGAGGUGAGACCAAUUCAGAUGAGCGUUUCUGAGGUUCCAGCUCAUUGCUGUAAUAUCGAAGAAGAUGAAAAGGAUGACCAUCCUUGGUAUCAAGAUAUAUUACGGUAUGUGAGAAAUCGUGAAUAUCUUGAGCAGGCAACUGAGAAUGACAAAAGAACUUUGAGAAGGUUAGCCUGCGAAUAUGUACUAGAUGGAGACAUCCUUUAUAAAAGAAGGAAAGAUCAGGUACUCUUAAGAUGCGUCGAUGCUGUGGAAGCUAGACAAAUCCUGGAAGAAGUACAUGAAGGUGUUUGUGAGACACAUGCUAAUGGCUUUACGAUGGGCAAGGAAAAUCAUGAGGUUUGGAUAUUUUUGGUCUACUAUGGAAAGAGAUUGUAUCAGCUAUACUAAAAAAUGUCAUAAAUGCUAGAUAUAUAGGGACAAGAUUCAUGUACCACAUUCACCCUUAUAUGUUAUGACUUCUCCAUGGCCCUUUUCCGUGUGGGGCAUGGAUGUCAUAGGGCUAAUAUCACCAAAGCUUCGAAUGGGCAUCGUUUCAUUUUUGUGGUCAUUGACUACUUCACAAAAUGGGUAGAGGCAGCUUCAUAUGCUAGUGUUACCAAGUCGACUGUAAGUUGUUUCUUGAAAAAGGAGAUUAUUUGUCGGUAUGGAAUGCCUGAGAGGAUUAUAUCGGACAAUGCAUUGAACUUGAAUAACAGCAUGAUUGUGGAAGUUUGUAGCCAAUUUAAGAUCAAACAUCAUAAUUCAUCUCCAUAUCGCCCAAAAAUGAAUGGGGCAGUGGAAGCUGCCAUCAAGAAUAUUAAGAGCAUAGUAGGGAAAAUGACUGAGACCUACAAAGACUGCAUGAGAAAUUACCAUUUGCACUCAUUGCCUAUCGAACGUCAGUCAGAACCUCUACUGGGGCAACACCUUUCUCAUUGGUUUAUGGGAUGGAGGCAGUGUUGCCCAUUGAAGUAGAAAUACCUUCUCUUCGAAUUUUGUCAGAAAUAAAGCUGGAUGAAGCAGAAUGGAUUCAAUUGCAGUAUGACUAAUUGAACUUGAUUGAAGAAAAGAGGCUAAGGGCUAUUCGUCACGGUCAGAUAUAUCAGAAGAGAAUUCCACGAAGGGGACCUUGUAUUGAAAAAGAUUCUUCCCAUAAGAAGGACUUUAGAGGAAAAUGGAUGCCAAAUUGGGAAGGACCGUACGUUGUGAAGAAGGCUUUCUCUGGUGGUACACUGAUUUUGACAGAAAUGGAUGAGAAAAGUUUACCCAAUCCAGUGAAUUCAGACUCAGUCAAGAAUUACUUUGUCUAAAGAGAAAGGAAGUCAAGGUGAAAACCCACAAAGGGCGCUUUGAGAUUUCUGAAAACUUCUAAAAAAAAUAGAGAGGCCAAGGUGAAAACCCGUAAAGAGCGCCCUGAGACCAAAGGGGUUUUGAGUUGAAAACCCGAAAUGGCUGUUCAAAUUUUAAAAAGCAUGCAGUGACCUUGCUAUACUAGAUUUGACAAGAAAUGGAGUAUGUUACAUACUAGGGCAUCGACAAAAUACUUUGAAUCUUCUAAACAAAUGAUAAACUCAAAACAGUCUUCAUGGAAUUUGUAUAUAGAAGCCCAAGCUGUGAUAUGUUGGAUAUGUGAUUUUUGUUCUGUUUACUAUCUUUGGAUUCUUUUUCUUCUCAAAGAUAUGUUUUUAGAUUAAUUUCCUAUUGUAUUCUGAUGAUUUAUUUAACUAUUCUCAAGAUUAAAUUAUUUGUCUUCCAUUAUUCAUAAAGUGUGUUACAUUGAAAUAAUGAUUGAUGAACUAAAUAUUUUUACAAACGAAGUUUUGCAUAUUACUCUGAAAAUCUCUAGAGAAUACAAGAAACUAAAACAGAACAAUUGUUUGAAGAAUUCCCAUGAGUGAGGGUCAGAGGUAUUCAAGAAAAUUUCUUCAGUUCAAAGGAUAAUUGGACAAUUCAAACGAUUCAAUCUUAGGAGAGGAUCGUCUCCAGCAGGUCGUAACAUUCGGAGAAUGGUACAAUAGGACCAAUCUGAUUCAAAACACAUGAGCAAAGUAUGAUUGAUACUUUGAGUAAAAUAAAGGUGGAACUUUGAUGGAUGAACGAGUAAAGACGUCCGAAAUAGGAAUCAUUUUCAUAACAUUUUGCAUCAUAGUAUGUCUAUUUAGGAGCAUUUGACUCAUUUCGGUCAUGUCACCUUAAUCAUCGGGCAUGAGCACAUAUGCAUUCUACAGGUUACGCCCUUUAAGGGACAAUAUAGAUCACCGAUAGUAGAUUUGGCGUCUCUGUAUUGACAGAGAGCAGAUCGAAGAUAACAGAUUUGGCUUCUCUGUAUUGACAGAGAGCAGAUCGAAGAUAACAGAUUUGGCGUCUCUGUAUUGUCAGAGAGUAGAUCGAAGAUAACAGAUUUGGCGUCUCUGUAUUGUCAGAGAGCAGAUCGAAGAUAACAGAUUUGGCGUCUUUGUAUUGAUAGAGAGCAGAUCAAAGAUAGCAGAUUUGGCAUCUCUGUAUUGACAGAGAGUAGAUCGAAGAUAGCCAAUUUGGCGUCUCUGUAUUGACAGAGAGCAAAUCGAAGAUAGCCGAUUUGGCAUCUUUUUAUUGUCAGAGAGCAGAUCGAAGAUAGUAGAUUUGGCGUCUCUGUAUUGUCAGAGAGCAGAUCGAAGAUAGCAGAUUUAGCGUCUCUGUAUUGACAGAGAGCAGAUCGAAGAUAGCAGAUUUGGCGUCUUUGUAUUGACAAAGAGUAGAUUGAAGAUAGCAGAUCUAACAUUUGUAUGCUUACAUCGAAGCAGAUUGAAGAUGACAGAUUCAGCUUCUCCAUAUUAGGCAAGGAGAAGAUCAGAGAUUUCAGCUUGGCAUUCCUGAGUUUGCAGGGAGCAAGUUGAAUAUAGCAGAUUUGACAUUCCUGGGUUACGGUGAAGCAAGUUUGAAGCUAUCAGAAUACCUUUGAAGAAGAUGAGGAUCAAGAUUUCGAGACCUGGCCAGGCCGGGCAAAAUUGGUCCUUUUAUAGUCUUUGCUCUAUUCCUGUUACACAGUAAUGAGCAAAUAGGGGCAGCUGUAAUAACCCAAAUUUGCCCAGCCCAGAAAAUAAAAAAACAAAAAAUAAAAAGUCCUUUACAGUCCAUUUACAAAUCACGCCAGUAGCCCAUUACACUUAAAAGCCCUUUAACUUGAACUAAACCCAAAUUAAUGAGGCCAAGGAAGGCUCAAUGCCUAAACUGAAUCAGGAAACCCUAGGGUUUCCAGAAGCUUCGCGCCGCAAACUCCAAACGUCACGCCCCUUCGUCUCGCGCAAUUUCAGUGAACCCUCAUCGACGCCUCCAUCGGUGCCGUGACUACCGUAAUCUGCCCGCGAAUCAACACCCUAUCGUCACCGAAUUUCUCGCUGGUACCUGCAAAAAAGGAAAGAAGAACAACAGAGGCAAUACAAAUAUGGCAGGGAAUAAAAUCAAACAUGUUAAAUAUUAUUUUCAGUGGCUAUAAAAGCCCGAAUCAAAAUGAUGUAAAGCACGGUUUUUUUUAAAUGGAGAUAUACAAUAAAGAAUAAAACAGUUUAUCAAAGAAAACAGAGGUGAUUAGUUCUUUACCUUUUCUUCUUGUUGCAAACAUAUACAAAUUUUAUUAAAAUAAAAGGAAAGGGAGUUUACUAUUGGAUUUGCGCUAAAAACCAGAAGCUUUUCGGCUUUCGGCCGCCGUAUCUAGCGGAGUUGAAGACGGUACGUGGACGCGUGAGUCUGAUGACCGGGCUUGGCCCGACGGAGGCUGGAGCCCAGAGGAUUUCCUCUCUUUUCCUCUUUCAGAGGAUUUCUGUUCUUCUUUUUUUAAAACCAGGGGCUAAAAUGAUUUUUUAAGUUUUUUUUUUACAUUUAUAAGCUACCUAUAUGACGUCGUUUUGGGAUGACCGUUUAGUGACCAAACGGUGUCGUUUCAGGGCUGAGGAUCCGCGCGUUGACCCGUGACCUGGGGAGGAUCCGCGCGUUUUUGAUAAAUGGGAAAAUUACUGUUUGAGCCCUUCCGCAUUUUUCGUUUUUUAAAUGUCGUUUAAUUCUAAAUUUCUCUAUUUUUAAAUCUGGCCCUAAUAGUUUGUUUCUGUUUCAAUUUGGUUCCUGAACCCUUUAAAGUGUAAUUUUUAAAACGGCGUCGUUAUGGGAUUAGGGAUAAUUGCCCAGUGAGUCCCUCGUUUUUUGGCGCGCGCUUUAAUUGGAUCCAAAAUUCAUUUUAUUUUAAAAUUAACCCUAAAGUUUUUUUAUUUCAUUUUAAUCCUUUUGAUUUUUUUAUAAUUUAUUUAAUUUAAAUAUAAUAUACAAUAUUUAUUUUUACCAUAAACAUUAUCUAUAUAUGAAAAAUUAUUAUAUAUUUUUUUAUUUUUUAUUUGUGUAUUAUUUGUUAAAUCAUUUACAUUUCAUUAUAUAUUUUGAUUUAUACAUUUUAUUAUAUAUCAUUUUAUUAUAUAUUAUUGUUAUUUUAUUAUAUAUUAUAAUUAUUCAUUAUUUAUUAUUAUAUAAUUUUCAAAUUUGUAAAUUACUAUUAAAUAUUGCAUUUUUAUAUCAUUAUUAAAAUUUAGUAUGUAAUACACUAAAAUUUAUAAUAAAGUUUUAUUCCUAUUAUACAAUAUUAUUUUAUAAAACAUAUUAAAUUAUUACAUCAUAUAGUCUAUUUUUUAUUAAUCAUAUAUAAAAUCUUCUUCUUUACUAUUUAUCUAUGGUUUUAAAUAUUUUUUAAAAAUACCUCAUUUAAUUUUUAUUGUAUUUUAUUUUUUAUAUAUGUUUAUAAUUUUUUUAUUUAUUUUUGCGUCCUUUUGGAUUUAUUUAGUAUCGUUUUAAUAUGUUCUCAAAGAUUAUUUGUAUUUUUAUGUUAUUUACUAUUUAUGUAUAUUUGCAUGAAAAUUGACUAUUUAUGUUGUUAUUUUAAGUUAUAUUUAUAUGUAAUAUUAUUGUAUACAUAUUAUGCAAUUUAUAUUGUUAUAUAUUCAUUAUGCUCUAUGUUGUAUUUUGCAUGUAACAAUAAUGCAUGUAUAUUUAUGUUAUUUAUGAUCAUAUAUGCAUAAAAUGAUAAUGUAUAUUGUGUAAUUUAUGUCAUUAUUUAUCAUUUUUUAUAUUAUAUUUGCAUGGAAUGAUAAAGUAGGUAUCAUGUAGGUUAAUUUAUUUAAUAUUGAUCCUUUGUAAUAAGUUGAAUGCAUCAUCACUUUAAAGAACUUUUAUAUCUCAUUCGAUCCAAAAGAAUAUAAAAAAUAAGGCAAUGUUUUUUGGUACUUAGGAAUUCGGGAAGUAGUACCCUAACAUGCUGGGUUGCGAUUUCCCGUUUGUCUAAAUGCCUAAAAUAUCCUUCUAAAUAAGUUUUGAAAAUCACAAGAUGAUUUCAGUUACGAAAGUUUAAGAACAUCGUGUCCAAUCAUGCUGGAUGUGAUGUUUAUAUUCUUUUGAAGUGAAGGAUUCUUGAUUUUUAACUCAAAUUAUUACGGUUUUAAAAGAGAUCUUAUUUCUAAAUUCUUUUAAGCUUUUGAAGCGAAGGAUUCUUGAUUUUUAACUCAAAUUAUUACGGUUUGAAAAGAGAUCUUAUUUCUAAAUUCUUUUAAGCUUUUGACAUUAAGACAAAACUAUUCAAUUUGGUACCAAUUUUGGGCGUUGCGAGGGUGCUAACCCUUCCUCGUACGUAACCGAAUCCUGAGCCCGUUUUCUCAUAAUUUCGUAGACCAAAAUGUUUUAUAAGGUGAUCCAAUCACACUUUAAAAGGUUGGUGGCGGCUCCUGUUUUCAAAAUACCCUCCCCGUUUAAAAGAGGUUUUGACAACCCCCAUAUUUUAUUUGGCACAUUGUCCUUAAUGUGCUUAAAAAUAAAAUAAGGAACGAAAUUACCUAAUUUGGCGUGAUAGUCCAUGAACAAUGUUGGGUAGCCUUGUCCUCCCCGAUUUAACUCCAAAAAAUUUUGUAUCAUCCAAAAUAUAGGAUUCUUACACAGAAAAACACAUUUUUUUAAAGAAUCUUAACUCGAUGUCGCAACAUUAACUUCAAAGUUCCUAGCUAAUUGGUUCAAAAUCUAGUAUCGUGACAUUGAGAUUCAAUUUUGUGACAUUCUCCUUGUAUUUUAACUUUGAAGUUCCAUGUCAUGACGCCAGAGUUCAUCGUCGUGACUUUGAGUCUAGUUCUAUGCUUCUUCAAGUUUUUUUUUUGAGAUGUUCCACAAUAUCAACACCUACUUGUGGAAAACAACACAAACAAUCAAAAGGAACAAAACAAAAUUUUAAAAAUAAAAAAUAUAUAUUAAAUAAAUAAAUAAUAAAAUAAAAGGAAAAACUAGAGAAAAAAUAAAAGUUCUUUUUAAAGACUAGGACGAUCUGCAUCACAACCAUAGAAGAAUUUUCAGCUGGUCCUCGACACUUUGAUCCUUCAUUUGUUUCAUUGUUGAUGUAUCUGAACCAAUAAUUUUGGUCGAUUCUGAUGAUAUUGCCUUAGUUUUUACCGGCGUGACAUCUACAUUACGAGCUAUUUAAUGCCAAAGUUGAGCCAACCGCAAAUGGUUUUUUGGGAUAUUAUUAGCUCGAGCUUUUUCACCUCAAUGUCACGUAAGGAUCUAUCAACCUAAGUUUUGUCAUCGUCAUCGAACGAGAAUGAUAUGAACUCGUCAACCUCUUCGGUUGGCGUUUCCUCUUCUAUGGCCAGAAGGUGUGUCGACUCAUUGACACCUUCACUUAGAAUCAGUUUAAGCUCCAAGUUAAUGGUUAAUGUUACAUCUACUUCUAAAUCUACUAUUACAUCUAUGCCAAAGUUAAUUAGAUCAAAGACUACUUCGGCGAUCUUCAAUUCUUUCUCGUACCCAAUUUCAAACUCUAGCCAACUUUUGUAGUCUACUUACGGAUGGUCGAUAGUGCUACUAUAGGUUUCAUAAUUACAGUUGGAGGCAUCAUGUACAACCUUUUCCAAUGGGAUUUCUACUUCUGCUUGCCUUCGGAGCAAUUUCUCUAACUAGUCCACCUAUUUUUGAAUUCUUUCUAGGUUAGUUUGGAAUGCAUCCGACUCAGGAUGGAAUGUGGAUAAAUAUUCUCCACACCUUCGAUCAUGACUCCGCUGAUUCAUUGAAACUCCAUUUGUUCGACAUGAUUUUUUAUUGCUUCUAUGUUGUUCAUACAAAUAGCAGUAUACAUCGUCAUCCAAGAUUAAUUUGAAUUCUUUUUUGACUGAAUGUUUGGGCAUAUCAAAUUCUUCCUUAUAACUCCAUUGGUUCGUCAAAUCUUCGUUUGUCAAACUUGAUUCUUCAUUAAUGUUCCAAUCCAAUGGUUUUGUACAAUCUGGUUCAGGAUGAUUAAUCAUAAUACAAGGGUCUUCUAGUUGAAGUUAGGAACAUGAUGCACAACCUCAUCCAAUGGGGUUUGUUGUAGCUCCAUCGUAAGCAAUAUUUGGUUCUCCUCGAUAUCCUAUUCUUCAUAAAAUCAUUCCUUGUAUACUUCAUCAUCAUACAACGCAGACAUUUUGCAUUCUUCAGCCCAACUCUUAUUAUCAUCAAACUCAUAAUCAACCCAAUCCAUGAGUAAAUUAGUUAGUCAACAAGGUAGCUAAAAAUAAAAAUAACUAAAAAUAAUGAAAAAUAAAGUUAAUACACUAUCUAACUCAUUCGUCUUUCGAUUAAUAUUAUUUUACGAAGCAAUUAAUCUAAUAAUAAUUUUCACAGUCGCAAUCCUCGGCAACAACACCAACAACUUGAAUGCUACCAAAUGUGCGAAUGUUUGGACUGAAAAUACUGCAGCAAAAAGAUAAUAAAUAAAGCAACGGUGUCCACAAGUAUACUGGUCAAAUUGUAAUAUAGGUUGUUUACAACGAAACACGUGGAAAGUAUUCCAUGGAUUGUAACCAAGAGAUUGCAGAUUGGAGAAAUUUAUUAUUAGAUUAAUUACAGAAAAUAAGUACUAAUCUAAUCGAGUUCCGAAUUAGUAGUACAAAUCUAAAUUAAAGUAUUUAUUAAACUAAUUAAGUUAAUUAACCUAAACUAAGCUAAUGAAAUUUCCUAUUCCUAGUGUGGACAAUACAAGCUCUCGGCCUUUAAUCAAUUAAAUCCCUAAAUAACAACUAAGUCAUUAAUUACCCUCAACUGAGUUCUUUACCACCUUUAGCUACAAAUACCCUCUCGGUCUCAUCUUCACUAAGGAUUGCCACUUAAGUCACCCUCUGGUCUUUUCCUAGGCAUACGGAUAACUCUCGAUCUCAUCACUGGGCAUAAGUUACACUUAACAGACUACCCCCUUUUAGUCUCACCUUUCUUGAUAUUCUAUUAGGGAUGUCACUCUUUAAUAUAAUAAGUACUCUUGAAUGAACUCUCAAUUUUAGGUAAAUAAUUACUUAAUUAAUAAAUCAGAUUCAUAAGCGAAACAUACCAGAUAUAAAAUACGCACAACUUAUUCUAAUAUUCAUAUAAACAUCAAUUGAUCAGGCCAACGAAAAUAUAAAUAAAAGAAUAAGAAAAAUGGGAGAAAGCUAUUAAAUAAAUAUAGGUACAACUCCAGAGCAAUAUCCUCUCAUGAUCAUCUUCACAUCAGAACAGGAAAAUCUCGACUACACGAACAUAAAAUAAAACUACAAAGAAAACUAAAUAAACUAUUUAGUUCUAAAAUGUCUAACUUUCAACAACUGUCUAACGAAGUUAUAAGUGUUUAUAUACGCACAAAUUAGAGCAACCAUUAAUGUCAAUUAUUACUAAAAUACCCCUGAUACUAAUAAAUUUGUAUUUAGUAAACUGAAUAUUUAAAAUUUGUUCACGUGACCACUGUUGUGAGCAAUUUGUCACGAUGACGUCAAGACUCCGCGGCGCCAAAAUCCCACAUCGCAAUGUCAGCCCUAUUUUUAGCCUUUGAUGAUUCAAAGUUCGGUGUCAAGACGUGGUAUGUUGAUGCCGCGUCAUGACCUUUGUUCCUUGCAUACUUAAGCUUAAAUCGAUGUCCUACACACUCAAAUAACCCAUUAGUCAUACCCAAGGCCCAAAUUGGUCUUAUGGGUCGUUAAAAAACUGAAUAAUGGGUAAAAACACUUAUUUUACCGAAAUUAAACUUAAACUACUAAAAAUAGAAAACGAAAUAAACACAUAUAAAAGAGCUAGAAAAUAUGCUCAUUAAGUGCCAAAAUGACUUUAAUUUCCACAACGAAUUGUGGUAGAUUAAUGAUUCAGACUGUAGGAAAUGUAGAUGACUAGAAAAUCAUAUAUGAUGGAUGUUUCUACCUGGGCUUGAAUCUUGUAUCUUGGUAUAACAAGAAGCAAUCAUCCAUUUCAUUAUCAACAACAAAGGCAAAGUAUAUUGUAGUUGGUAGUUGUUUUUCACAACUACUUUAGAUGAAACAAAUGAUUGGCAAACUUUGGAAUUUGAAUUAUUUUAAAUUAUAUUUAAAAUAUAUUAAAUAAUCAAUUCAAAUAUUAUAAUAGAAAAAUAUUGAAUAUAAUUAAAUCAUUUUUAACAUAUUCAACAUACAAUAUAGUUUUACUUUAUUUAAUUAAUGAAAAGUAAUAUUAUUCAAAAAAAUAACUAAUUAAAAUAAUUAAAUUUAAUAUUAAUUAAGUAAUAAUUAAGAUACUUAGUAUUCUAUUCAUGUAAUACAUCAUUAAAUUUAGCAUAGCACAACUUUUGUCUAUGUAAAAAAAAAAUUUAAACUAAUAUUUGUGAAUUAUAAUUAUAAUUAUCAAAACUCUUUUUAACUAAUAAUUGUAACUUAAAUUUUAAUUGUUUUUAAAUUUAUAAAUAUCACAAUUUAUCUUUUAUUUCAACUUUUUAAAUUAAUAAUCCAAAAUAAAACAUGAUAAUUAUUUUUAAAUAUAAAUUUAAUAAUAUUAUCGAAAAUAAUAAGCAUUCUUGUGAGUUCAAUUUUUUUUUUCUUUCCAAACUCACACAUAUAUUAUAGAUAAACUACCCAUUUUCUACAAUAGUUAUCAAUUUACUAAUAUCUAACUUUAAAAAAAAAAUUAUUUUGAGAUAGCCAUCCAGUUAUCUUCACUUUAUGUGUCUUAUUUGAAUUAAUAUUUAGGAGAAUUUUUUUUCACAUGUGCAUACAUGUAAAAAUUUUGUAAUUUGAAAAUAUAUGUGUUCAAAAAUAACAUAUAAUAAAUAAUGAAACGUAAGUUUUGAAAUUAAUAAUAACAGCUCAUAUGCAAUAUGUAUGAAAUUAAAAUAAAAAAUAAUUUAAAUUGUAGGUAAAAGGAAAUUUAAAUAGGUAAAUACAUUAAAUCAAGAAUAUUAAAUGCACUAUAAUUAUUUAUCAUAGUGUUGUCAUUUCUCUUAAGAUGACUUGUGACACCAAUACAAUCAACGAUAUUAUCAAUAUAAAUAAUGUGAGUGAAAUAAUUUGCAUAAUAAUAUUAAAAUAUAUCAAAGUAUCAAAAGAAAGCUUUGAUAGAAGUGAUAAAGUAAAAAUUUUAUAAAUAUUGAUAGCAUGACUUCAAAUAUCAACAUAUGCAAAAUUUAUAUUGAUUUUAUUUAAAAUGUACAAAUACAAAAGAAUAAUUGUAAGAAUAUAACUUAUUUCAAAUAUAUUAAGUAAUUUAGUAAUUUCUUAAGUUGGUAACAAUUUGAUAUUUAAAUAAUAAUAUAUAUUAUUAAUUAAAUUGAGGUUACAAAUUAAUAAAACACAAAUUCAAUUUAAAAAUAAAACAAAAUAUUUUUUUUCUGAUUUUUGUCGGAAAAUAUCUUAUUUAUUUUAAUAAUUUAAACACCAUAGCUUUUCUGUGGUCCAAAAAACAGGAUAAGACUGGCGUUGAAGGUCCUAGUCCCACCCAUGCCCAUGCGGGCCAUACUGUGUGUCGAUAUCCGACCCCGUGAUGUAAUAUCACUAUUGAAAUUAUAAAAAGUUGUCGUAUUUAAAAGACGUUUCACAUGCAUCCACUGUUCAAGUUGUUUUAGUUCAUACAAACUAUAUGCAUAUUCAAUGUAUGAAUAUGUAUUCCUUUUGGCAGCUACAACAUUCAACUUAAACUACUAACGAACAAAAAUGACCCUGUGAUAGAUUCAAUGUCCAAUCAAUGUCUUACUAAAUUAGGAUAUAUUCUAAAUCCAUCUUCGUAAUUGUCAAGUAGAAUUCACAUGAUUUCAGAUCUCCUACAAAAAUGGGAAAUCCAUUUGACCAAAGUGAUUAAUCUUGAAAACUAUUAGAAAAACUACUGCAACAGAAAGUGAAAGUCGAACCAAUUAGCAUUGCCAUAAACAUAAUAGCUAGUCAGGACAAUGAUUUUUUUUCAACCCCCCAGCUUGAUGCGGUUGCGAAAAGGACUGUUUUAAUACUAAAGUUAUACAGAAUUUUAAAUCAUACUAUGACGGUGGGAGAGAUGUGAAGAGUCACUAAAAUAAGAGUGAUUUAUACUGUAAAUUAUGUGGAGAGUCAUAAAAAUAUAAAUUUGAGAAGGUUAAGGUUAAGUUUUGAUAAAGUAUAGACUAUGUAUGGUGUAUGGCUCUCUUACUCCAAAGCUGAGGAGAGAUAUUUAUAUAGGGAGGUCAGUUGAGCAUGAGUCCUAACCAUUAAAUUUUCUAUCUCAUAAGUGCAAUAGUGGAGUGAUGGAUGUUAGUCGAGGGUAUUGAGUUAACUUGAAAGGGCUAGACGAGACAUUCGUUAAGUCAAUGUAAUAGAUUUAAGAGUGUCAUUAGAAACUCUUUCUCUUGUAACUCUUAAGGAUCAUGUGGCGCUUUGUAUGAUAGAAUGUUUAGGCAAGGUUAUUGUAAAGGUGAGUAAAAUCUAAUUCAAUUCGUAAAAUUCGAUAAAAAAUAUAAUUUUUGAAUUAAAUAGUUCGAGUUAUGUGAGUUAAUCGAGUUAUUUGGAUCAACUCGAAUAAAAAUUAAUUUUUUUUGUUUAACUCGAAUAUGAAUUACACUUUGAAUUAUCAGAAAAUCCAAAUAAGAAAAGGCAAAACUACAUUUGUUUUGAUAAAUAUUUACCUUUUCUAAAGUUAAAAGUCAAAACAUUUAAGGUAAAAGGUAAAAUUACGUCAUUUUAAUAAAUGUUUACCCAUUAAGUUAAAAGAUAAAACCAUUAUAUUGUUUAUAUAGUUAAAUAAUCUUGUACUUCGGCUACUAGUUAAACAAUUGGUCUAUGUAAAUACAACAUUAAGUAUUAAUAAUAGGAUUCGUCUACUCGACUCGACUUGUGCCGAAAAUUUUUUCCUCAAUUCAAUUUGAUUCGAAAAAAUUUUCAAAUUGAGUUUGGUUGCUAAAAUAGGAUUCUUUAACUCAAUUAACUUGAAAUUUUUUAACUCGAUUCCAAUUAACUCGAUCGAAUACUCACCCCAAGCUACUGCCCUCUUGGAGAGGCCACAUAUUCUUAUAGUUGUUGAAUGAUCCAGUGAGUCGGUCUAGGCAAGGGUAUAACAACUACCCCUUAGUUGAAAGACAGGUUACAAAGUGACCUGGCCUGAGCUAAUUCAUUAGCAAACCUUACUCGAACCUUGGUGAGGCUUGUAGAGGGUUUUGAAGUGUCAUCGUUAUUGUCUGAUUAUUGCACCUGUGUAUUGAUUACUCUUAGAUGCAUGUUUGUAUUUAAUUGAAAGAUUUUUUUAAACACAUUUCUCUUUAUUUUAUUGAGCCAAUAUUUAGAGAAAAAUAAUUUUGAAAUCAAGUUAAAAUUCGAUCUGACCUGCCUCAUGGAUAAAUUUAUAUCUAACUCUAUUUUACAAUAUUUUUAAUUUUGCCUCACCUGAAAAUGCUAAAUGGAACAUUCGCGAGCAUGUUAUAGAUUAAGGGACUCAUAUAUUCUCAUAUUCCUAUAAAUGUUGAAUAAUCGGAGGGGAUUUAAAAGAGAGGGUUAUAACAAAGACUAAUAUGGAUGUGGCUUGCUGACUCAAGUAGGGAAAAUGUGGCCAACAUGGUGUGGGAACCCGGCGGGUGAAGCGUCUUCGGCUCCACUUAGACCCCACACUCAUGCUUUGAAGGUUAAAUGUUGCGAUCUUUCAAUUCCAAUACAUUGAUAACAAUUUGCCUUUUUUUCUGAGGCCAGCGUUGAAGUUUCUCCCACUUGAUUUGCCAUUUGACAAGGAAAACUGGGCCAAUUGGAAUUCCCUGUUUAUCACAUAUAUUAAAUUAUUGGUCAUUCUAAAACUGUGACUGCUGCAGAUAUUUUUUUCUUCAUCUUUUUUAUAAACUGACCGUAAAAAUUUAAUUAAUUAUUUAAAUAAUCUAUUUUUUUAUAAAAUAUAAAAAUAACCUAAAAUCUAUCGUAAAAAUUGGUGAAAGUUAAAGUGUUUGGCACUACUAACAUAUCAAAUUAACAAUCAAGAUAAAAAAAUUAAUUUUUUAGCAAAACCAUUUAAAAUGACACCACCGACAUAAAUAUUAAGAAAAUGCUGCAAUUUUUGAAAAAAUAAAAAGGCUUUCAGCCAAGUUAUUUUUUUUAGUGAAGCCAAAUAAUUUGGCAUCACAUUCCAACACCCUAUCGUGCUUUUCCUUAUUUUUUUAUUUGUUUGUUUACAUUUAUUUUAUAAUAUUAUAAUAUAUAUUUUAAAUUUUUUAUAAUAUUAUUUCUUAAACUUUAAAUAUAUUUUUUAAAAUUUUAAAUAUGUACUUUUUAAUAUUAUAAAAAAUUUAAAACAUAUUAUUUUUAAAGAUAUGACAUUUUAAAUUUAUUAUUUGUUUUAUAAUAUUUUUAAUGUAUAUUUUAAAAUUUUUAAAAAUUAUUUUUAAAUAUAUUCAAACGUUUUUAAAAAUAAUAUUUAAAAUUUUAAAACAUAAUAUUUUAUUUAGUGGAAAAAAAACGAAUAGGCUAGAAAAAAGUAGAAAAAGAAAAAAAUGAAAAACAAAUAAAAAAUAGGAAAAGCAAAUUAGGCAGCAGAAUAGGGCUUUAGAAUCUAUUUAGCUCUACUAAAAAGGUAAAUUUACUUAAAGCCCUCCAUUUUUUUUCAAAAACCGUAGUAUUUCCCUAAUAUUUAUACAAGUGGCGCCAUUCUACAUGGCUCCACAAAAAAAUUAAUUUUUUUAUCCUGAUUGCUGACGUGACAUGUUGGUAGCACCAAAUAUUUGACUUCACCAAUUUUUAUUAUAAAUUUUAGAUUAUUUUCGAAUUUUAUCAAAAGAAUAAGUCAUUUAAAUAAUUAAUUAAUGUUUUAGGUUAGUUAAAAAAAAACCUAUUUUUAUGAUAACAACAAAAAAUAUAUAUAUUCAACAGUAGUAACUUAGAAUGGGAAUAUUCCAUAUGAAUGGUUUAAUAUCGGAAUUCGUUUUAUCAGUUUCACUAUUUGAAUUUUUAUAUGUUGUUUUAAAAAUUUUCAACAUAGUAAAUUCAGAUAUUUAACAUAAUAGAAUAUUGAUUUAAGGCUUUAAAAAGUGUUUAAUUUUUUUUAAAAAGUCAUUAAGUCUAUUUUUUUUUGUUUUUUAUUUUUUUGCACACAAUGUAUAUUUGAUCUUUCAAAAUGCAUAAAAAAUACCUUCAAACUUUUUUAAGAAAAGCAAUUAAGCUCCUAAAUUUUUUCACCCAAUUGGGUACUUGAACUGUUAAAUGCUUCAAAAAUACCAUUUAACCAUUAACUUUAACAGUUGAUCGUUAAAUUUAAUUACCCCUGAUCUUUUUUAGUCAAAGCCACUUGUGUAACAACCAUGGCGUGGCAUGUGACAAAAAAAUUAUAAAAAAUAAAAAUCAAAAAAAUUUAUAAAAUAUUUAAUUUUAAUAAAAAUAUUUAGAAUUUAUUAAAAAUUAGGAUUGUUUUAUAAAUACCAUAAAAAUUAUAAAAUGCAUAAAAAAACCUUUAACUAUUAACUUUAACCGUUAAAGAUAACAGCUUCUUGUUUUUUUUAAUUAAAGUUAUCAUAUAUCGCAACACGGCAUGACAUGCUUUUUUAGUACAGUAAUUUUUAUAAGUCUUUUUCCAAUUUUAUAUUUCUUUAUUUUUUUAUAAUUUUGUUAUGACUUUAUAAAAUUUUAUAAUUUUUUUUCUAUAUUUCUAUAUAUUUUACAAUUUUUACAACUUUUAUAAAAUUUUAAAAUUCUUUAUAAAUUCUUUUAAGAUUUUAUAAUUAUUCUAAUUAUUCUAAUUUUUAAAUAUUUUAAUUAAAAUUUAAUAUUUUUAUAAACUUUCAUUGAUUUUUAUUUUUUAUCAUUUUUUGUUACAUGUCCUAUUGAGGUUGUGACAUGUGGUGACUUUAUCUAAAAAAAUUAGGAGUAGUUAAAAUACCCAAUUGAGUGAAAAAAGGACUUAAUUAUUUUUUUAAAAAAGUUUGAAGGUUUUUUAUGUAUUUUAAAAAUUUAAGUACCUAAUUGAAUGUAAAAUAAAAAAAAGUAGGGACUUAUUUAUUUUUUUAAAAAGUUUAAAUUUUUUAUAUAUUUUAAAAGUUUAAAUAUUCAAAUACAAGUGUAAAAGAAAAAAAAAACAAAGCUUAAUGAUUUAGUUUUUUGAAAAAGUAUACAAGGAAAUUUGAUAAAUUUAAAAAAUCCAACCGCAGCCGACAGAAUUUUGUCAUGUUUGUUUUAAAAUAUCUAGCUAAAAGACAAAGGGCCAUAUCGUAUCAAUUUUAUUGUUUUCAACUGUAACCCGAUUUGUGUUACCUCGUGAACACAACUUGUCCCUAAUUAUUCCAAUGAGGCUUGGCCCUUAAAGCCUAGUUAGGACCAAUUACAUCACGUAUGCGAGAAUUACGCACAUGCACAUGCGGUAACAUUUUCCCUAUAAAUUGCUGGCCUUUGCCUCCACCAUUUUCAUCAUUCCAGUUGCUCUCAUUUUUCUUUGGAAACAAAAAACAAAAAAUAGAAAAAAUAAAGAGCAAGAGAUAUGGCAAGCACAUUCUCUUAUAAUUCUUUUGGAUUCCUUCUCAUUCUUGUCGCCUCUAGUUCCUUGAUAAAUAUAAGUUCAGCUGGUAGGCAAAUUGCCCCUAAAACUAGCAUUGAGUUUAUCAGAACAUCUUGUAGUUCAACGACUUACCCUAAACUUUGUUACGAAUCUCUCUUAACACAGGCUAGCAUGAUCCAAACAAGCCCCCAACUCAUCGCCCAUGCAGCCCUAAACGUGACCCUUUCAACCGCCAAGUCAACCUCGGCCAUGAUGGUGAAGCUUGCCAAAAGCCAAGGAUUGAAGCCUACAGAGGUGGGCGCCAUGCAAGAUUGCGUGGAGGAAUUGGAGGACACGAUAGAUGAGCUGAGAAAGUCAAUCAGCGAGAUGGGUCAGAUUAAAGGCUCCAAUUUUGGACUAAUGAUUAACGAUAUACAGACAUGGGUUAGCGCUGCUUUGACGGAUGAGAACACCUGCGCCGACGGGUUUGGAGGGAAAAACAUGAACGGCAGUAUAAAGACUGCUGUGAGAUCCAAGAUUGUCACAAUCG
RNAcentral lists this long non-coding RNA (20445 nucleotides) under Gossypium barbadense (sea-island cotton). RNAcentral's name for it is "long non-coding RNA (GBAR_LNC002032)". Lineage: Eukaryota; Viridiplantae; Streptophyta; Magnoliopsida; Malvales; Malvaceae. The record is from RNAcentral.